Molecule: non-coding RNA, 72 nt
Organism: Russula brevipes
Lineage: Eukaryota; Fungi; Basidiomycota; Agaricomycetes; Russulales; Russulaceae
Source: the annotation of a GenBank genome assembly
GGCUAGGUAGCUCAAUAGGUAGAGCACCUGGUAUAUAUCCAGAUGGCCUGGGUUCAACUCCCAGUCUGGUCC